GAUGAACGCUGGCGGCGUGCCUAAUACAUGCAAGUCGAGCGAACAGACGAGGAGCUUGCUCCUCUUACGUUAGCGGCGGACGGGUGAGUAACACGUGGAUAACCUACCUAUAAGACUGGGAUAACUUCGGGAAACCGGAGCUAAUACCGGAUAAUAUAUUGAACCGCAUGGUUCAAUAGUGAAAGACGGUUUUGCUGUCACUUAUAGAUGGAUCCGCGCCUCAUUAGCUAGUUGGUAAGGUAACGGCUUACCAAGGCAACGAUGCGUAGCCGACCUGAGAGGGUGAUCGGCCACACUGGAACUGAGACACGGUCCAGACUCCUACGGGAGGCAGCAGUAGGGAAUCUUCCGCAAUGGGCGAAAGCCUGACGGAGCAACGCCGCGUGAGUGAUGAAGGUCUUCGGAUCGUAAAACUCUGUUAUUAGGGAAGAACAAAUGUGUAAGUAACUAUGCACGUCUUGACGGUACCUAAUCAGAAAGCCACGGCUAACUACGUG
RNAcentral lists this ribosomal RNA (497 nucleotides) under uncultured bacterium. RNAcentral describes it as "partial 16S ribosomal RNA". It matches the Rfam family "Bacterial small subunit ribosomal RNA", at positions 28 to 507 of the family's 1533-position model. The record is from RNAcentral.